Camellia sinensis is the source of this 1227-nucleotide non-coding RNA. NCBI's taxonomy places the organism in Eukaryota, Viridiplantae, Streptophyta, Magnoliopsida, Ericales, Theaceae. The record is from RefSeq and is a predicted model, not a curated record.
GGGGGUCCGAACUGUUUAACGCGCGCGGGUACCCCCCGGGCAUGUUACACUCUUAUAAUUUUCUUCUCUUUUUCCUCUCAAAACUGAGAGUCUCUCUUUCUUUCUCUCAAAAACUCACUUUUUCCACUUCAAUCCUUAGAUCUACACUCUUAGAGGUGUCUUCUCAUCUUGAUCCUUUGAGAUAACUUGAAGAUCUUGUCAAGAGCUUUCUAUUGGUCUGAGAAGUUCGUGGCUUCGUCAACCUUGAGUUUUUCGUGUUUUCUUCAUAAUGACUUGAGGAAAUGAUGGAGUUCCACCUCCCUGAAGGAUUGGUCAAGCAAUAGCUCCUUUUUGGAAAAGUUGAUCCAUGUGUAUUUUGUUAUUUUGAAUUGGAAUUUUUGUAACAAGAACUAUUACUUUAUUUUGUCGUAAUUGUACGCCCUAGAGGCUUGUAUUUUGUAAGGCCACCUAGUUCAUUGAACUGGAAUAUGAAUUCUGAGCAGUAUGGGAAUUUAUAUGGUGAAUUGUAACCUCUUAUCUCUUAGUUCAAUGAGAAGGUGGACUUUUUGGGUAUUUUAUUGUAUUUGUUUUGGUAUGUUCUUGUGGGAAAAUUUCAGGGUGCUACAAAAGAAGUAUUCCUGCCGUACAAAUAGCCAUCCAAGAGGAUGUCUAAUGAGGUUGGGACACAAAGUUAUCCAAGAUGUUUUGAUCUUGUCGAGGUGGUUUGGACCCUUGUAGGGCUUCAGGUCUGUUGGAUGGUAGGUGAGUGCGUUGCCCGCAAGUGGCUGUGAUGUUGGGCAGUGAGUAGAGGAGUCACGCCCGUGGUCAGGGCGGUCGCACCCACGACCAGAAUUAUUCGGCGGUCACGCCCUCAGUGGAGGAGGUUGCAGCCUCGACAUGUUGGGGUGGCAAGUUCGCACCCGUGAUAAUUUAGACCUCGGCUGCGAUGAGUCGUGUAUAUAAGUCAUCUAUAUGCUAAAAAAGUCAUUUUUUUGUCCUCUUCUCUCUCUCUCUCUCUCUCUUUUCUCUCUCCUUCUGCCAUUUUUGGGUUUCUUUGACUUAAAAGCUUGGGUUUCAUCAAGCUACACCCAAUUUCUACCCUUAGUCCUUCAUACCAAAACGUAGAGGGUUGUGAGGGCUUCAAUUUAAUUGAGCGAAUCGUGUUUUCGUCACCGGUGGUUUUUUUGGCUUUUCUUCUCUUCACUUCAAAAGGUAAGAAUUCCUUUGCUCCUCAUCAAUACAUUCUCA